AUUGAACGCUGGCGGCAGGCUUAACACAUGCAAGUCGAGCGGGGUGAUGGUGCUUGCACUAUCACUUAGCGGCGGACGGGUGAGUAAUGCUUAGGAAUCUGCCUAUUAGUGGGGGACAACAUCUCGAAAGGGAUGCUAAUACCGCAUACGUCCUACGGGAGAAAGCAGGGGAUCACUUGUGACCUUGCGCUAAUAGAUGAGCCUAAGUCGGAUUAGCUAGUUGGUGGGGUAAAGGCCUACCAAGGCGACGAUCUGUAGCGGGUCUGAGAGGAGGGGCCGCCACACUGGGACUGAGACACGGCCCAGACUCCUACGGGAGGCAGCAGUGGGGAAUAUUGGACAAGGGGGGGAACCCUGAUCCAGCCAUGCCGCGUGUGUGAAGAAGGCCUUAUGGUUGUAAAGCACUUUAAGCGAGGAGGAGGCUCUUUUGGUUAAUACCCAAGAUGAGUGGACGUUACUCGCAGAAUAAGCACCGGCUAACUCUGUGCCAGCAGCCGCCGUAA
Molecule: ribosomal RNA, 503 nt
Filed under: uncultured bacterium
Lineage: Bacteria
Description: partial 16S ribosomal RNA
Rfam family: Bacterial small subunit ribosomal RNA
Source: RNAcentral